RNAcentral lists this unclassified non-coding RNA (320 nucleotides) under Hevea brasiliensis (rubber tree). Lineage: Eukaryota; Viridiplantae; Streptophyta; Magnoliopsida; Malpighiales; Euphorbiaceae. The record is from RNAcentral.
ACACGAACCCGUGUUGCUAAAGCCAUUUCAGCGACAUACCCAUUCUGGGAGCCGGCAUAGAUUGCGUUAUGGAAUGCCUCGUUGGCUUCAUGAAAUAACUGCGGAUUGCCAUCAUAACUCAAGAACCGCAGCCGCUCAUGGAGCACCUCCAGUUCGCUCCGUUGAACAAUUGGCAUCCGUUCGGCGGCAAGGCCCGCACAUAAAGCUUCAAGUUCAGCCAUCGCCUCGAACAUGCUAUUGAGCUGCUCGAUGGUCGGUCUCGCCACCACCGCGCCGCGGUGGGCGCGCGAAUUUACCAGACCACUAGCCACCAACUGCCG